UUUAUGGAGAGUUUGAUACUGGCUCAGGAUGAACGCUGGCGGCGUGCCUAAUACAUGCAAGUCGAGCGAACAGACGGGGAGCUUGCUCCCCCGACGUUAGAGGCGGAGGGGGGAGGAAAAAGGGGGGAAACUAACUAUAAGAAUGGAAAAAAUAGGGGAAAAAGGGGGUAAUGAAGG
Molecule: ribosomal RNA, 177 nt
Filed under: Staphylococcus pettenkoferi
Lineage: Bacteria; Bacillati; Bacillota; Bacilli; Caryophanales; Staphylococcaceae
Description: partial 16S ribosomal RNA
Rfam family: Bacterial small subunit ribosomal RNA
Source: RNAcentral